GUCUAUGGCCAUGCCACCCUAAACGUGUCCGAUCUCACCUGAUCUUGGAAGCUAAGCAGGGAUGGGCCUGGUUAGUACUUGGAUGGGAGACCACGUUGGAAUACCAGGUGCUGUAGGCA
This is a non-coding RNA of Pteropus alecto (black flying fox), 119 nucleotides long. NCBI's taxonomy places the organism in Eukaryota, Metazoa, Chordata, Mammalia, Chiroptera, Pteropodidae. The record is from Rfam.